UUGAUAGAAGCCAAAAUAGAGGCUAAUCACUGUUAAUGAUAGAACUGAAAUUAAUUUCCUAUCAAG
Molecule: transfer RNA, 66 nt
Filed under: Ibacus ciliatus (Japanese fan lobster)
Lineage: Eukaryota; Metazoa; Arthropoda; Malacostraca; Decapoda; Scyllaridae
Description: tRNA-Asn
Source: RNAcentral